This 75-nucleotide transfer RNA is filed under the name Caudoviricetes sp. RNAcentral describes it as "tRNA-Arg". It matches the Rfam family "tRNA". From Rfam's summary of the family: Transfer RNA (tRNA) molecules are approximately 80 nucleotides in length. Lineage: Duplodnaviria; Heunggongvirae; Uroviricota; Caudoviricetes. The record is from RNAcentral.
GUGGACGUAGUUUAAUGGCUAAAACGGUGGCCUCCGGUUCCGCAGAUAGGGUUUCGAUUACCCCCGUCCACUCCA